This 73-nucleotide transfer RNA is filed under the name Mannophryne collaris (collared poison frog). Its description in RNAcentral is "tRNA-Asn". It matches the Rfam family "tRNA". From Rfam's summary of the family: Transfer RNA (tRNA) molecules are approximately 80 nucleotides in length. Their secondary structure includes four short double-helical elements and three loops (D, anti-codon, and T loops). Lineage: Eukaryota; Metazoa; Chordata; Amphibia; Anura; Aromobatidae. The record is from RNAcentral.
UAGAAUAAAGCUCGCUGGAUAGAGUAUUUAGCUGUUAACUAAAAUAUUACGGGAUCAAGACCCGUUAUUCUAG